UUAUGGCCAUAUCACAUUGAAACAUCAGUUCUCAUUUGAUCACUGAAGUUAAGCAAUGUUGAGCCUGGUCAGUACUCAGAUGGGUGAUGGCUGAGGAAUACCAGC
Acanthosepion pharaonis is the source of this 105-nucleotide non-coding RNA. The record is from the annotation of a GenBank genome assembly. NCBI's taxonomy places the organism in Eukaryota, Metazoa, Mollusca, Cephalopoda, Sepiida, Sepiidae.